Non-coding RNA from Streptomyces sp. NRRL F-6491, 48 nucleotides. The record is from Rfam. Lineage: Bacteria; Bacillati; Actinomycetota; Actinomycetes; Kitasatosporales; Streptomycetaceae.
UCGGCCCCGGUUCACGCAUGCCGCAACCCGCGGUAGCGACCCGGUGCC